This 1681-nucleotide long non-coding RNA is filed under the name Homo sapiens (human). RNAcentral describes it as "HSALNT0125773". The record is from RNAcentral. Lineage: Eukaryota; Metazoa; Chordata; Mammalia; Primates; Hominidae.
UUUACCCAAAAGUCAUUAAGGAGCAUGUUGUUUAAUUUCCAUGUAAUUGCAUGGUUUUGAGUGAUUCUCUUAGUCUUAGCAUCUGUUUCUUUGUGCUCUGGUCCCAGAGAGUGUUUGGUAUGAUUUCCAUUGUUUUGCAUUUGCUGAGGAUUGUUGUAUGUUCAAUUAUAUGGUCAAUUUUAGAGUAUGUGCCAUGUGGUGAUGAGAAUGCAUACUCUGUUUUUUUGGGUGGAGAGUUCUGUAGAGGUCCAUCAGAUCCAUUUGGUCCAGUGUUGAGUUCAUGUCCUGAAUAUCCUUGUUAAUUUUCUGCGUCAGUGAUCUGUCUAAUACUGUCAGUAGGACUCCCUUUAAUAUUUCUGGUAGGGCAGGCUUUCUAGCAUUUCUUUAGUUUGUGUUUAUCUGGGAAUGUCUUAAAUUCUUCUUCAGUUUUUCAAAAUAAGUUUGCUGGAUAUAAAAUCUUUGGUUGAUGAUUUUUUCUCCCAAGGACUUUGAAAAUGUCAUCCCACUGCCUUCUUGCCUACAUGGUUUCUGAUGAGAAAUCCACUGUUAAUCUUGUUGAGGAGCCCUUGCACGUAUUGAAUUACAUUUUUCUUGCUGCUUUCAAGAGGCUUUCUUUGUCUUUGUCUUUCAAUAGUUUGAUCAUGAUGUGUCUAAGUGUGGAUCUCUGAGUUUGUCCUACUUGGAGGUCAUUGAGCUCUUGAAUGCGUAAUGUUUUUCAUAAAAGUUUUGGAAGUUUUGGCCAUUGUUUCUUGAUGUAUUCUUCCUGUCUGUCUCUUGCUCUCUCUCUCUUCUCCUUCUGAGAUUCCCAUUAUGCAUAUGAUGAUAUGCUUAUGGAAUAAGACAGGUCUCUCAAGCUCCAUUUAUUUACUUUCAUUCUUUUUUCGUUUUAUUCCUCAGACUGGAUAACCUCAGUUGUCCCAUAUUCAAGUUUGCUGAUUCUUUCUGCUGCCUGCUCAAAUCUGCUGUUAAAUCUUUGGGCAGGAGGAUUGGGUUGCUCAAAUCUUACACAUUUCAAAGAAAUGUUUAUCUUCAGGCCUGGCCAUUGGCUGGCCCCUGGAAGGUAGCCUCUGAGCCCUUGGAAUAUUCUUCCUCAUAUGAGUUUCUGUAUGCCCGAAGCCCUGAACCAUGCUGUAUUUAUGGUAUUUAUUGUAAACACCUGUUUUUGUAUGAUUAAGCCCUUGGGCUACACUGUACCAGUUUGACUGGAUAAGUUUAUCCUAGAAAAGUGAUUUAUGAUGAAUGCCUGGUUUUGCUCUGUGGUGAAGACUGGAUGGAGUCUGAGUAGCUGAGGUCAUUCAUAUGGGCACUGCAUGCCUAUGUGACUGACCCCCAACAAAAACUCUUGAUACCAAGGCUUCGGUGAGCUUUCCUAGCAACACUUCACAUGUGUAGUCACACAUUCCUCCUGGAACAAUUAAGGACAUCCCUAUGUGACUCCACUGGGAAGGGUUACUUGGAAGUUUGAACUUGAUUUCUCCUGGACUUAAUCCAUGUAACUCCUCCCUCUGUCAACUGUGAUAUAUCCUUUUGCUGUAAUAAACUGUAACCAUGAAUAUGGCAGUGUCUGAGUUCUGUGAGUCUUUCUACUGAAUCAUUGAACCUGAGUAUGGUAUUGAAAAUUCCCAAUACAGCCCAUGUAGUGAAGUUUUCAUCUCAGUUAUUUUCCUGUUUAUUUCAGAAU